RNAcentral lists this ribosomal RNA (253 nucleotides) under uncultured bacterium. Its description in RNAcentral is "partial 16S ribosomal RNA". It matches the Rfam family "Bacterial small subunit ribosomal RNA", at positions 524 to 776 of the family's 1533-position model. The record is from RNAcentral.
UACGUAGGGACCAAGCGUUGUUCGGAUUUACUGGGCGGAAAGGGCGCGUAGGCGGCGUGUUAAGUCAGCUGUGAAAUCUCCAAGCUUAACUUGGAACGGUCAGCUGAUACUGAUGUGCUAGAGUGCAGAAGGGGCAAUCGGAAUUCUUGGUGUAGCGGUGAAAUGCGUAGAUAUCAAGAGGAACACCUGAGGUGAAGACGGGUUGCUGGGCUGACACUGACGCUGAGGCGCGCAAGCUAGGGUAGCAAACGGG